Molecule: ribosomal RNA, 525 nt
Filed under: uncultured Bacteroidota bacterium
Lineage: Bacteria; Pseudomonadati; Bacteroidota
Description: bacterial SSU rRNA
Rfam family: Bacterial small subunit ribosomal RNA
Source: RNAcentral
CCUACGGGAGGCAGCAGUGAGGAAUAUUGGUCAAUGGAGGCAACUCUGAACCAGCCAUGCCGCGUGCAGGAAGAAGCAUCUAUGGUGUGUAAACUGCUUUUAUACAGGAAGAAACAACGCUACGUGUAGCGUCUUGACGGUACUGUAAGAAUAAGGACCGGCUAACUCCGUGCCAGCAGCCGCGGUAAUACGGAGGGUCCAAGCGUUAUCCGGAAUCAUUGGGUUUAAAGGGUCCGUAGGCGGCCUUAUAAGUCAGUGGUGAAAUCUCCUAGCUCAACUAGGAAACUGCCAUUGAUACUGUAGGGCUUGAAUUAUUAGGAAGUAACUAGAAUAUGUAGUGUAGCGGUGAAAUGCUUAGAGAUUACAUGGAAUACCAAUUGCGAAGGCAGGUUACUACUAAUAUAUUGACGCUGAUGGACGAAAGCGUGGGUAGCGAACAGGAUUAGAUACCCUGGUAGUCCACGCCGUAAACGAUGGAUACUAGCUGUUCGGAGCAAUCUGAGUGGCUCAGCGAAAGUGAUAAGU